UACGAAGGGGGCUAGCGUUGUUCGGAAUCACUGGGCGUAAAGCGCACGUAGGCGGAUCUUUAAGUCAGAGGUGAAAUCCCAAGGCUCAACCUUGGAACUGCCUUUGAUACUGGAGAUCUUGAGUCCGGGAGAGGUGAGUGGAACUGCGAGUGUAGAGGUGAAAUUCGUAGAUAUUCGCAAGAACACCAGUGGCGAAGGCGGCUCACUGGCCCGGUACUGACGCUGAGGUGCGAAAGCGUGGGGAGCAAACAGGAUUAGAAACCCUUGUAGU
Molecule: ribosomal RNA, 271 nt
Filed under: uncultured bacterium
Lineage: Bacteria
Description: partial 16S ribosomal RNA
Rfam family: Bacterial small subunit ribosomal RNA
Source: RNAcentral